Molecule: long non-coding RNA, 818 nt
Filed under: Panax ginseng (ginseng)
Lineage: Eukaryota; Viridiplantae; Streptophyta; Magnoliopsida; Apiales; Araliaceae
Description: long non-coding RNA (PGIN_LNC015408)
Source: RNAcentral
ACAUACAAAUAAAUCCUCAUCAUAAUUAUUGAUACGUUAUUUUACAACAAUGGUGAGGACUACUAAACAACUCUCCCUAGAACCUUCAUUCCAUACCCCGACUCGUACUCGCUAUAUUCUCGCCUCCUGAGAAAAAAAAUGGAACAAAAAGGAAAAGGGUGAGCUCGACUAGCCCAGUAAAGAAUAUUAUGACUAAGAUAAUAUACAACAAAAUUAUCGUUAGUCUUCAACAGGAAAAAAUAUAAUAGAAUACAAUAGACAACAAGUUUUAAAUCAAUAUUCGCAGCGGAAAUAAUAAUACAUUAGAAGAGUUAAGUAGAGAAUGCAAACUACUAUCUUCUAUGUAUGAAUUUUAAAGUUCAUCGUCUAUUUUUUUUAUCCCUGUAACAUCAAUCAAUAUAUAUCUGGGAUCAAAUAUUCAUCCUUGUACUACAUGCCAAGGACAUUCACCAGUUGGUCAUGUUCAUCUAACCACCUGUUCAUCUUUGCACUACGGGCCAAAGAUAUUCAAUAAUAUCAUCAUUUAAGACUGAGGAUGAUGAAAAAUAUUUUUAAAGAAACGAAUCCAGUGAAACAAAAUGACAAGGAUUAAGGAUUCGUACUUUGUUUUAUCCAUGUCCAAAAAUACAUCAAAAAUAAUCAUAGUGGUGUAAAAUUCAAGAAUGAUCAAAACAUGGAUACAAUCAAAGCUAGUAUCCACAAUAGAUAUUUUAGACGAAAAGGAAAAUUUUCAUUUUUCGAUGAAUAGUGCCGUAUACGUGAAUAGUAACUCCGACACCAAAAGUUCCAAAUUUGAUAAAAACUUCAGAUCAAUAUUU